GGCCUAAGGGGCUCCCGGCGUCCUUAUUCAUAGGUACACCAAUUCUCGAUGGGUGAGAUAGGUUACGGUAAAAUGGGUUGUCGGUGUUUAAACAUAAUGGAGAAUGUGGAGAAUGAGAGGGUUUGGAGUUGAGAAUUGAUUCAGUGAGAAUUGAGCAAACAAAGGCUUGAGCAUUAAAUUCGAAGCAUCAACCAGCCUUCUUCGAAAACAAGUGCUACAAGAAGAACGACUAACAAUU
RNAcentral lists this unclassified non-coding RNA (238 nucleotides) under Hevea brasiliensis (rubber tree). Lineage: Eukaryota; Viridiplantae; Streptophyta; Magnoliopsida; Malpighiales; Euphorbiaceae. The record is from RNAcentral.